UCCUUUCGCUAUUAAGCGCGCCUAAUUUAAGUAUG
RNAcentral lists this small RNA (35 nucleotides) under Bombyx mori (domestic silkworm). RNAcentral's name for it is "ovarian small RNA-28099". The record is from RNAcentral. Lineage: Eukaryota; Metazoa; Arthropoda; Insecta; Lepidoptera; Bombycidae.